GUUGCCAGGCAACCUCUCUAGGCUUCUGUUGUGAUUCUGCUUUAGUUGGGUCUGGGGGGGUCUCUCUGGAGAGUGGCUAUAAAUGCUAGCCUUUGUGCUGGGCAGCAAAGCAAAUCAUCGGGAAUAACCCGGGAGCCUGGCAGGGAAACCGCUGCACUAUGGAGAGGACGCUUCCAGAUACAGAGGACAAAUCAAGUGAAGGGACGGAACAGGUCACACCCAGAGCGGCACAGAGGCCAGGGUGGCUUCCCCAGCCCUCCUCCCCGGGUCCUGCCUGUGCCGAGCCUUCCUCCCAGGAGGGAGGUGAUACUGACUUGAGAUCUUAUGGGUGUUUUGUUUGUGGCUGGGCCUGGCCGACCCUCUCUCCACGGCCUUAGAUCACACUCUGGAUGGAUAGGACAGUCGUCCUCAAUACUGAGCCUCUUUGGAGCAUACCCACUGAUGGUGGUUCACAAGCUACCCACGCCCACAGGCUGACCCAGAUCUCCGUGAAAUUAAAAAAUACUGUGAAAGGAAAAAGAGCCAAUGUCAUGUGGAUAAUGAAGUGUCAGCCACUGAAAAAUCUCAAAAUAAUAAACAUGGCUUGUUUGUCAGGGUUCUCUAGAGAAA
Molecule: long non-coding RNA, 609 nt
Filed under: Homo sapiens (human)
Lineage: Eukaryota; Metazoa; Chordata; Mammalia; Primates; Hominidae
Description: HSALNT0404353
Source: RNAcentral